GACAAGGCGUCGUGGGCGUGGCCAAGCCCCCCGGCGGAAGCCUCCGGCCGGCGCGCGCUGUGAUUGGCUGCGGCGCGGUGACGCACGCACGCACGCUGACGCACGCCGGACGCAGGGUGACGUUGCGGCGGCGCCUGAGGGAGCGCGGCGGCGGCUCCCGGCAUCUCCGAGGCUUCCCCCUCUGCCCCCCUUCCUUCACCCCACACAGCCCCCAGGCCCAGGAGUGGGGGGGGUCCCACCCCCUUUUCUCCCCCCUCCCCUCUCCCCUCCCCUCCCACCCCUCCAAUGCCCACCCCAGCCCGGGGUCCCCCCCUCUUCCUCAGCCCCCCUCCCCCCCGCGCCGCAGCGCCACCAUGUGAGGGGGGGGGAGGGUCACGGCCGGUCCCCGUGUCUCUCCCCCUUUCCUCCCCCCCUCCCCCCUCCUCUUCCCUCCCCCCCAAAACCCUUCCCAAAGCCCCCCCCCCGACCCCCCAGCCAUGAUGUUCCGGGACCAGGUUGGGAUCGUGGCCGGCUGGUUCCGGGGCUGGAGCGAGUGCGAGCAGACGGUGGCGCUGCUGGCGCUGCUCAAGCGGGUGACGCGCACCCAGGCGCGCUUCCUGCAGCUCUGCCUCGAGCACUCGCUGGCUGACUGCGCCGACAUCCACCUGCUGGAGGCUGAGGCCAACAGUGCCGCUGCCAUCAGCCAGUGGCUGCAGGAG
Colius striatus (speckled mousebird) is the source of this 698-nucleotide long non-coding RNA. RefSeq lists it as uncharacterized. The transcript has 3 exons. The record is from RefSeq and is a predicted model, not a curated record. Lineage: Eukaryota; Metazoa; Chordata; Aves; Coliiformes; Coliidae.